AGCAUCCCCAAACUUCUUGAUGAAGAGCACCAAAAACAAUGGUGCUAUUGGGUGGAACUAUUGUGAUAAUGACAAAGAAGAACCUUCAUCCAGCAACUGAUGGAAAUAGAGGCAGAGAUCCACAGCAGAGCUUGGAGGCUGAGCAAGCUCCCAAAGUCCAGUUGAAGAAUGGAAGAAGUGAGAAUAUGAGCAAAGAGGUCAAGGCCAUGAUGGGCACACCACUGAAACAGUCUACCUGAGCUAAUGAGAGCUUACCAACUCCAGCUGGACUGGAAAAGACCCAGCAUAAGAAGGACCAAACUAGACCUUCUGAAUGUGGGUGACAGUUGUGUGGCUGGAUCAGACUGAGGGGCCACUGGC
Alexandromys fortis (reed vole) is the source of this 360-nucleotide long non-coding RNA. RefSeq lists it as uncharacterized. Lineage: Eukaryota; Metazoa; Chordata; Mammalia; Rodentia; Cricetidae. The transcript has 3 exons. The record is from RefSeq and is a predicted model, not a curated record.